Molecule: ribosomal RNA, 261 nt
Filed under: uncultured bacterium
Lineage: Bacteria
Description: partial 16S ribosomal RNA
Rfam family: Bacterial small subunit ribosomal RNA
Source: RNAcentral
GUCCACGCCCUAAACGAUGGGUACUAAGUGUCGGCGGGUUACCGCCGGUGCCGCACCUAACGGAGUAAGUACCCCGCCUGGGGAGUACGGCCGCAAGGUUGAAACUCAAAGGAAUUGACGGGGGCCCGCACAAGCGGUGGUGCAUGUGGUUUAAUUCGACGCAACGCGAAAAACCUUACCCAGGCUUGACAUGCUAGUGGUAAAACCGGAACGGGGAUGACCCUGAAAGGGGAGCUAGCACAGGUGCUGCAUGGCUGUCGU